This 236-nucleotide ribosomal RNA is filed under the name uncultured bacterium. RNAcentral describes it as "partial 16S ribosomal RNA". It matches the Rfam family "Bacterial small subunit ribosomal RNA", at positions 99 to 334 of the family's 1533-position model. The record is from RNAcentral.
CGAACGGGUGAGUAACGCGUGAGGAACCUGCCUCAAAGAGGGGACAACAGUUGGAAACGACUGCUAAUACCGCAUAAGCCCACGGGUCGGCAUCGAUCUGAGGGAAAAGGAGUGAUCCGCUUUGAGAUGGCCUCGCGUCUGAUUAGCUAGUUGGUGAGGUAACGGCCCACCAAGGCGACGAUCGGUAGCCGGACUGAGAGGUUGAACGGCCACAUUGGGACUGAGACACGGCCCAG